GGGGGCCCAGGAGCCCCGACCUCUGCGCAUCCCAUCGGUACCGCGCACCGUGCCUUUCCCCUUUUGGUCCUGGGACCCGAGACAGAAAAAGCCGGAUUAUCUGCCUCCCUCGCCCCCAAGAGAAACAGAGAGGAAUUCCUAGAUAGUGAUCGUGAUCGCCGCCGUCACCACCGUCCCCCCCCCCCCUUUUUUUUUUUUUUUUCUGGUCACAGAAGUCAUGUAGGAUCCAUGAAAAACCAGGAAAGUCUAAGAACUGGCCUACACCACGGAAGCCUGGAGAGCCGUGACAACUCAGUGCUGAGCGUGUGGUACCACGGAAGAUGAUUCCAGGCCACAUCCCCAUCCUGACCUGGUACUUCCUGUGACCACCAACGGGCUGGAAUUCUGGGCUCCUCCCGAGACCAGGGUUCAAGAAACUGGCUGCUCAGGUCCCCAGUGGUUUGCACACAUCUAGAUGAUGCACCAUGGUCAGACUGGGGUGGAGUGAAAAGGGAACCCUACUUGGAAAGAUUACAGUUCCUGUCUCCAGUCCCCAUGGUCCGACAGACUCCUGCACUUGACUGUGUAUUUGAAAUAAGGGUAGCAGCAUGAUUUUAAAGACAAAGAAGCAGAACCUAAGGUGGAUCGGCGUGCCCAGGAGGGGCCCUUGGCAGAAGUGAGAGUAGUGAGAAAGAUCUCUGAACACCUUCCUGCUCCCUCCCAUCUCGGCUUAAUGUGGCUCCAGGAGCUGAGCAGUGACAGAGACCUACCUAAUCACACCUGUCCAGCACAUGAAGAGCCGUUUGCCAACAGAGCGAGAAGACAAGAUUUUAAUCUUCAUUUUUUAAAUCCUUGGGGAUAAAGCAAAUGACCCUGGAUUAAAAGCAGCAGGAAGGAUCUGGGCUCCAAAUCAGGAAGAAUUGCCAAACCGGCAGUGAGAACGCGGAACUUGGGCAUGACCCGGCAGGAGCGGUGGGACAGGCCCCUACUGGGAAGUCCUGAGCACAAAGGCAAUUCCUGAGUCAGCUGGAUUUAUGGGCCGAGGCUGAGCCUAACCCUGGAGGGAUGGCCUACCACCGUUGCCGGGCCAGGUGAGAUACAUUGCCAGGGAGUCGGUGGCA
Long non-coding RNA from Prionailurus viverrinus (fishing cat), 1100 nucleotides. RefSeq lists it as uncharacterized. The transcript has 5 exons. The record is from RefSeq and is a predicted model, not a curated record. NCBI's taxonomy places the organism in Eukaryota, Metazoa, Chordata, Mammalia, Carnivora, Felidae.